GAUGAACGCUGGCGGCGUGCUUAACACAUGCAAGUCGAACGGAAAGGCUCCUGCUUGCCUGGGUACUCGAGUGGCGAACGGGUGAGUAACACGUGGGUGAUCUGCCCUGUACUUCGGGAUAAGCCUGGGAAACUGGGUCUAAUACCGGAUAGGACGAUGGUUUGGAUGCCAUUUUGGUAAGUUUUUCGGUGUGGGAUGAGCUCGCGGCCUAUCAGCUUGUUGGUGGGGUAAUGGACUACCAAGGCGUCGACGGGUAGCCGGCCUGGGAGGGUGUACGGCCACAUUGUGACUGAGAUACGGCCCAGACCCCUACGGGAGGCAGCAGUGGUGAAUAUUGCACAAUGGGCGCAAGCCUGAUGCAGCGACGACGCGUGGGAGAUGACGGCCUUCGGGUUGUAAACUCCUUGCGCUAGGAACGAAGCGCAAGUGACGGUACCUGGAGAAGAAGCAACGGCUAACUACGU
This 464-nucleotide ribosomal RNA is filed under the name uncultured bacterium. RNAcentral describes it as "partial 16S ribosomal RNA". It matches the Rfam family "Bacterial small subunit ribosomal RNA", at positions 28 to 506 of the family's 1533-position model. The record is from RNAcentral.